Non-coding RNA from Acanthosepion pharaonis, 108 nucleotides. NCBI's taxonomy places the organism in Eukaryota, Metazoa, Mollusca, Cephalopoda, Sepiida, Sepiidae. The record is from the annotation of a GenBank genome assembly.
UUACGGUCAUAUCACGUUGAAACACCGGUUCCCGUACGAUCACCGAAGUUAAGCAACGUUGAUCUGUACCAAAAUGAGUAACCGCUUGGAAAUACCAGGUGCUGUGUG